UGAAGCCCAGCUUGCUGGGUGGAUCAGUGGCGAACGGGUGAGUAACACGUGAGCAACCUGCCCUGGACUCUGGGAUAAGCGCUGGAAACGGCGUCUAAUACUGGAUAUGAGACGUGAUCGCAUGGUCAACGUCUGGAAAGAUUUUUCGGUCUGGGAUGGGCUCGCGGCCUAUCAGCUUGUUGGUGAGGUAAUGGCUCACCAAGGCGUCGACGGGUAGCCGGCCUGAGAGGGUGACCGGCCACACUGGGACUGAGACACGGCCCAGACUCCUACGGGAGGCAGCAGUGGGGAAUAUUGCACAAUGGGCGGAAGCCUGAUGCAGCAACGCCGCGUGAGGGAUGACGGCCUUCGGGUUGUAAACCUCUUUUAGCAAGGAAGAAGCUUUUGUGACGGUACUUGCAGAAAAAGCGCCGGCUAACUACGUGCCA
Molecule: ribosomal RNA, 428 nt
Filed under: Microbacterium sp.
Lineage: Bacteria; Bacillati; Actinomycetota; Actinomycetes; Micrococcales; Microbacteriaceae
Description: bacterial SSU rRNA
Rfam family: Bacterial small subunit ribosomal RNA
Source: RNAcentral